UCGGGCGCGGCGCAGCUGGUCGUCGGCCACCCGUUCGACACCAUCAAGGUGAAGCUGCAGAGCCAGCCCACGCCGCCGCCCGGCCAGCCGCCCAAGUUCGCCGGCGCCAUGGACGCCGUCAAGCAGACCAUCUCAGCCGAGGGCCCCCGGGGCCUUUACAAGGGCAUGGGCGCCCCGCUCGCCACCGUCGCCGCCUUCAACGCCGUGCUCUUCACCGUCCGGGGCCAGACGGAGGCCCUGCUGCGCUCCGAGCCCGGCGCCGCGCUCACCGUCGGCCAGCAGGUCGUCGCCGGCGCUGGGGCCGGCGUCGCCGUCUCCUUCCUCGCCUGCCCCACUGAGCUCAUCAAGUGCAGGCUGCAGGCGCAGAGCGCGCUGGCCACAGCCGCUCCUGCCGCCGCCGCCGCUCCCGCGGGCGGCGCGGCUGCCACCGUCACCGCCACGGCCAAUGCUGCCGCGGUCAAGUACGGCGGGUCGCUGGACGUGGCGAGGCACGUGCUGCGGUCGGAUGGCAGCAGCGCGGCGGCGGGCGCGUAG
Molecule: ribosomal RNA, 534 nt
Filed under: Triticum aestivum (bread wheat)
Lineage: Eukaryota; Viridiplantae; Streptophyta; Magnoliopsida; Poales; Poaceae
Description: partial small subunit ribosomal RNA
Source: RNAcentral